Molecule: ribosomal RNA, 253 nt
Filed under: uncultured bacterium
Lineage: Bacteria
Description: partial 16S ribosomal RNA
Rfam family: Bacterial small subunit ribosomal RNA
Source: RNAcentral
UACGUAGGGUGCGAGCGUUGUCCGGAAUUAUUGGGCGUAAAGAGCUUGUGAGGCGUCUGUCGCGUCUGCUGUGAAAACCCGGGGCUCAACCCCGGGCCUGCAGUCGAUACGGGCAGACUAGAGUGCGGUAGGGGAGACUGGAAUUCCUGGUGUAGCGGUGAAAUGCGCAGAUAUCAGGAGGAACACCGGUGGCGAAGGCGGGUCUCUGGGCCGUAACUGACGCUGAGGAGCGAAAGCGUGGGGAGCGAACAGG